This is a long non-coding RNA of Pan troglodytes (chimpanzee), 1986 nucleotides long. RefSeq lists it as uncharacterized. The record is from RefSeq and is a predicted model, not a curated record. NCBI's taxonomy places the organism in Eukaryota, Metazoa, Chordata, Mammalia, Primates, Hominidae. The transcript has 6 exons.
AAUGCAGAUACCUCAGCCCCCAGUCCAGGAAAGUUAAUCAGAAUCACUUGGAUAUAGCUUCCUUUGCAACUCUGUCAGUGGAAGACAAGUUGCGGUAGACAGGGUACAAGGACAGCAUGGAAGAAAGAAAAAAAUGCAUCCCAUUUUUUGUUAUUUUCUCAACAGUCUCUGGAAGAAAAGAAAAAGAAGUGUAGCUCUCUGUAUACGACAAAAUGGCUGCAUAAUCAUCUGUGAAAAUUGGAGGUGAUGAUACAUCUAACAGACAAAAUAAAUUACUGUGACAAGAAAAAGCCCAGGUUUACUGAAGAAUCAAGCAAACUCUUAUCCAAUAUCACUCAGGCUUGCUACACAGAUCAUAAAAUGUGGAAAAUUUGGGUGUUUUCAGUUUAGAUGACUUUCAUUUAACCAUUUUUUAUACUCUUCCUCCACCCCAGGCUCUGCCAAUAUCUUGAAUGUGCAUAUACAUGUAUACACACACACAUAUAUGUAUCUGUAUAUAUGUAUAUUUCAGAUACAAACAUAUUUUCAGAAGACACACAUAUGUAGAAAUAGAGACAGUGAAGAUAUAGAUACAUAAACAUAUACACAUAAACUAUACACAUAUACAUUUAUAUACACAUAUAUAUAAUGGCUUAACUAUACUUUAUUUAUAUCUAUGUUUGCAUUUAUAGCUUAAUUUUGUCCAUAUUGAGGGACUAAGUGGCUAAGUGGGCUGGACUCCCUGGGUCAAUAUGGACUUCCCUAAGGGGACUUUCCCCUAAGCCAAAAUGAGUCAUAGCUGCAAGGUAAGGGAUUGAAACUUCAACCAAUCAAUGGGGAUUUUCCCCUAAGCCAAAAUGAGUCACAGCUACAAACUAAGGGAUUGAAACUUCAACCAAUCAUAUAGGGGGUUUAAGCUCUAGCUGCAGCCUGAUGUUUUUAACCAGUCAGGCCCGCCAACCUGCAAGCAGAUAGAAAAUAAGCUAAUCCUAUAGGACAGAAAAAGGAAAAGGGGAGGAGUCAUAAGUGGAUAUAAGCAUAAGACACCUAAGCCAGAAAUGGCAACCCUUCCAGUUCCCCUUCCACUGUGUGGAAGCUUUACUUUCACUUUUGCUUUACUUUGGCUUUAAUAAAUCUUGACCCAGCACUCUCUUUGGGUCUGCAUGCUUCUCAAAUUGAGCUGUAACACUCACUGCUGCCGUCCAAGCCUUCAUUCUUUGAAGCCCGUGGAACCACAAACUCUUCAAUUGAGAAAAACCUUCGAUUGGAAGAGACUUCUCAUCUCAUUUCUGGGGGCCUGUCUGGGAUUUCUCUGAAGUGAAUAGAAUCCAUGAAACUGCAAAUGGUUCUACAAAUGGAGCCCCAAAUGACCACCACUAGCACCUACUAUCGAGGACCCCUAGACUGACCUACCAACCUGUUCUAACACCACGACACUGAAGACUCCCCUCCUGAGGAACCCUCAACUGCAGAUCCCCUUCUAUGCCCCAGUUCAGCAGGAAGUAGCUAGAAUGAUCAUUGCCCAACUUCUCAACAGCACUUGGGCUUUCCUGUUGAGAGUGGGUACUGAGGCACUAAGUGGCUAAGUUGGCUAGACUUCCUGGGUCAACAGGGACUUCCCUAAGGGGACAUUCCCCUAAGCCAAAAUGAGUCAUAGCUGCAAGCUAAGGGAUUGAAACUUCAACCAAUCAAAGGGGACUUUCUCCUAAGCAAAAAUGAGUCACCGCUGCAAACUAAGUGAUUGAAACUUCACCCAAUCAUAUAGGGAGUUUAAGCUUUAGCUGCAGCCUGAUGUUUUUAACCAAUCAGGCCUGCCAACCCACAAGCGGAUAGAAAAUAAGCUAAUCCUAUGGGACAGAAAAAGGAAAAGGGGAGGAGUCAUAAGGGGAUAUAAGCAUAAGACACCCAAGCCAGAAACGGAAAUCCUUCCGGGUCUCCUUCCACCACGUGGAAGCUUUACUUUUGCUUUUACUUUACUUUCACUUUAAUAAACCUUGGUGCCACACA